This 429-nucleotide ribosomal RNA is filed under the name Pseudomonadota bacterium. RNAcentral's name for it is "Proteobacteria bacterium partial 16S ribosomal RNA". It matches the Rfam family "Bacterial small subunit ribosomal RNA", at positions 355 to 776 of the family's 1533-position model. Lineage: Bacteria; Pseudomonadati; Pseudomonadota. The record is from RNAcentral.
UGGGGUAUAUUGGACAAUGGGCGAAAGCCUGAUCCAGCCAUGCCGCGUGUGUGAAGAAGGUCUUCGGAUUGUAAAGCACUUUAAGUUGGGAGGAAGGGCAUUAAGCGAAUACCUUGCUGUUUUGACGUUACCGACAGAAUAAGCACCGGCUAACUCUGUGCCAGCAGCCGCGGUAAUACAGAGGGUGCAAGCGUUAAUCGGAAUUACUGGGCGUAAAGCGCGCGUAGGUGGUUCGUUAAGUUGAAUGUGAAAGCCCCAGGCUCAACCUGGGAACUGCAUCCAAAACUGGCGAGCUAGAGUAGGGCAGAGGGUGGUGGAAUUUCCUGAGUAGCGGUGAAAUGCGUAGAUAUAGGAAGGAACACCAGUGGCGAAGGCGACCACCUGGGCUCAUACUGACACUGAGGUGCGAAAGCGUGGGGAGCAAACAGG